Molecule: long non-coding RNA, 471 nt
Organism: Mauremys mutica (yellowpond turtle)
Lineage: Eukaryota; Metazoa; Chordata; Testudines; Geoemydidae
Exons: 3
Source: RefSeq, a predicted model, not a curated record
AGAGGCAGCACAGCCAGCAGAGCCAGAAGGGAAGAGGCGGGGCCAGAGUGUCUCCGCUUCUGGCCACACUGCUCUCCCCGCAGCCUCCAAAGCAGCUGCAGCUCCGGGGUUGGCAGGCUGCGGCCGUGCCACCUGGGGCAGCUGUGGCCAGGCCAGAGACAUCCUCCCCUGGCCCACCCCAGUAUAACAAUUCAAUUAUGAAGAAACACAGGGCCUCGUUUUCAAAAGUGCUGAGCGCCCCAAUGCCAGGUGAAAUCAACAGGAGCUGUGGGAACUCAAGACUUCAGAAAAUGAGACUGACAGAUACCCACAAGACUACCUCCGUUGGUACCACUUCCAGGAACAGGCAUUCCAGCACCACACAUUUGCAGGGAGAAAACGUUGGGAAUCUUUGCUUGACUCACAAGGGAAUCAAAGAAUGUCUCCACCGAACUUGAAGGCUAGAGUAUGUUGGAGGGGGGGGGGGGAAAA